Molecule: non-coding RNA, 74 nt
Organism: Stegodyphus mimosarum
Lineage: Eukaryota; Metazoa; Arthropoda; Arachnida; Araneae; Eresidae
Source: Rfam
GCCUUCGUGGUGUAAUGGUCAGCACACUGAGCCGGUAUUUCAGAGGUCCGUGGUUCGAUUCAUCGGCGAAGGCG